AAGAGUUAGGGUCUUCUCGGCCCGACCUCCCAACCCUUUGUCUAUUGAACCUCUGUUGCUUCGGCGGACCCGUCCCCUCAGGGGACCGCCGGAGGACCGUCGUAAGGCGUCCUCUGGCCCGCGCCCGCCGGUGGCCAACCAUUUAAACUCUUGAUUGAAUCAUGUCAUAUUGUCUAAGUUUUAUAAGUAAUAAAAGCA
RNAcentral lists this unclassified non-coding RNA (198 nucleotides) under uncultured Herpotrichiellaceae. RNAcentral's name for it is "sequence contains ITS1". The record is from RNAcentral. Lineage: Eukaryota; Fungi; Ascomycota; Eurotiomycetes; Chaetothyriales; Herpotrichiellaceae.